ACGUACACUCCUACGGGAGGCAGCAGUGGGGAAUUUUGGACAAUGGGCGAAAGCCUGAUCCAGCCAUGCCGCGUGCAGGAUGAAGGCCUUCGGGUUGUAAACUGCUUUUGUACGGAACGAAACGGCCUUUUCUAAUAAAGAGGGCUAAUGACGGUACCGUAAGAAUAAGCACCGGCUAACUACGUGCCAGCAGCCGCGGUAAUACGUAGGGUGCAAGCGUUAAUCGGAAUUACUGGGCGUAAAGCGUGCGCAGGCGGUUAUGUAAGACAGUUGUGAAAUCCCCGGGCUCAACCUGGGAACUGCAUCUGUGACUGCAUAGCUAGAGUACGGUAGAGGGGGAUGGAAUUCCGCGUGUAGCAGUGAAAUGCGUAGAUAUGCGGAGGAACACCGAUGGCGAAGGCAAUCCCCUGGACCUGUACUGACGCUCAUGCACGAAAGCGUGGGGAGCAAACAGGAUUAGAUACCCCGGUGUCCCA
Molecule: ribosomal RNA, 476 nt
Filed under: uncultured organism
Description: partial 16S ribosomal RNA
Rfam family: Bacterial small subunit ribosomal RNA
Source: RNAcentral